UACGGAGGGAGCUAGCGUUGUUCGGAAUUACUGGGCGUAAAGCGCACGUAGGCGGCUUUGUAAGUUAGAGGUGAAAGCCCGGAGCUCAACUCCGGAAUUGCCUUUAAGACUGCAUCGCUAGAAUCCGGGAGAGGUGAGUGGAAUUCCGAGUGUAGAGGUGAAAUUCGUAGAUAUUCGGAAGAACACCAGUGGCGAAGGCGGCUCACUGGACCGGUAUUGACGCUGAGGUGCGAAAGCGUGGGGAGCAAACAGG
This 253-nucleotide ribosomal RNA is filed under the name uncultured bacterium. RNAcentral's name for it is "partial 16S ribosomal RNA". It matches the Rfam family "Bacterial small subunit ribosomal RNA", at positions 524 to 776 of the family's 1533-position model. The record is from RNAcentral.